This 251-nucleotide unclassified non-coding RNA is filed under the name Hevea brasiliensis (rubber tree). Lineage: Eukaryota; Viridiplantae; Streptophyta; Magnoliopsida; Malpighiales; Euphorbiaceae. The record is from RNAcentral.
GUGUUUCAAUUUGUUUAGUUUAUCUGAUUCUUUUUUUAAAAAAAUAUAAUUUUAAAAUAUCAUCUGAAAAGUACGAAGUAAAGAAAUAACAAAUUUAGGUGCCCUUUUAAGAAUGACUGGUUUUAAGUCCAAAGCCAUUUUUUCAGUACGAGUCAGAGUAACUGAACUGUGAAUCAAAUUGCUUCUUCCUUUAGUUUCAAUAGAAAUUCUAUCAUUCAUGAUGAAUAUAACGUAUAAUAAGAAAAGAAUUU